CUACGGGUCGCUGCAGUGGGGAAUAUUAGACAAUGGGCGAAAGCCUGAUCUAGCAAUACCACGUGAGUGAUGAAGGCCUUCGGGUUGUAAAGCUCUUUUAACAGGGAAGAUAAUGACGGUACCUGUAGAAAAAGCACCGGCUAACUCCGUGCCAGCAGCCGCGGUAAGGCGGAGGGUGCUAGCGUUAUUCGGAAUUAUUGGGCGUAAAGCGUGCGUAGGCGGUUUAGUAAGUUGGUUGUGAAAUCCCGGGGCUUAACCUCGGAACUGUGAUCAAAACUGCUAGACUAGAGGAUGGUAUGCGGUGACGGAAUUUCUAGUGUAGGGGUGGAAUCCGUAGAUAUUAGAAAGAACACCGGAGGCGAAGGCGGUUACCUAGACCAUAUCUGACGCUAAGGCACGAAGGCGUGGGGAGCAAACAGGAUUAGAUACCCCGGUAGUC
Molecule: ribosomal RNA, 439 nt
Filed under: uncultured bacterium
Lineage: Bacteria
Description: partial 16S ribosomal RNA
Rfam family: Bacterial small subunit ribosomal RNA
Source: RNAcentral